RNAcentral lists this ribosomal RNA (398 nucleotides) under uncultured bacterium. Its description in RNAcentral is "partial 16S ribosomal RNA". It matches the Rfam family "Bacterial small subunit ribosomal RNA", at positions 360 to 773 of the family's 1533-position model. The record is from RNAcentral.
AAUAUUGCGCAAUGGGCGAGAGCCUGACGCAGCGACGCCGCGUGAGUGAUGAAGGCCUUCGGGUCGUAAAACUCUGUCCUCAGGGAAGAAAAUUUGACGGUACCUGAGGAGGAAGCCCCGGCUAACUACGUGCCAGCAGCCGCGGUAAUACAUAGGUGGCAAGCGUUAUCCGGAAUUAUUGGGCGUAAAGCGUGCGUAGGCGGUUUAUUAAGUCUGGUGUGAAAUAUUACAGCUUAACUGUAAAGGGUCAUUGGAAACUGGUAAACUUGAGUACGGUAGGGGCAAGUGGAAUUCCAAGUGGAGCGGUGGAAUGCGUAGAUAUUUGGAGGAACACCAGUAGCGAAGGCGGCUUGCUGGGCCGGAACUGACGCUGAGGCACGAAAGCGUGGGGAGCAAAC